ACACGCGCGCAGCCGCACCGCUCGCACACCCGAGCGCGAGCCAGAUCGAUCUCACCCCCUAGUCGACCUCGUGCUCCCCUAGGACUCCCUAGACGCGUAAGGAUUUGCCCCGCACCACCAAAGCCUCUUUCCGAUCCUUUCCGUCGUCUGCACGCCUCUGUUGGGCGAAUUGGAUCUCACCGAGGAGCUUCAGCCGCCGCCGUCAUUGACCGUCCGAAUCCACCGCCUGCACCAGGACGCCGCCUCCACCGACGCCCGACUUCGCUGGAGCAUGCCAGAGUUCAGGAGCUCGCCACCGCCGCUCGAGGGAGCCCCGUCGCCGUUGAACGCCACCACCACCUCCACCAUUCACCGCCGCAUCCUCCUGUCACUUCCCCCUCGCUGGAGAGUCACCGGAGGAGCACCACCACCGAUGCCGACCGCCGCCGCCAUUUUCCUCUGUACACGAUUGUCCAGAGUGCGACGCGAGCUAUUGUCAGGAGUGUGACUUUUUGAACAAGA
Molecule: long non-coding RNA, 501 nt
Organism: Triticum dicoccoides
Lineage: Eukaryota; Viridiplantae; Streptophyta; Magnoliopsida; Poales; Poaceae
Exons: 3
Source: RefSeq, a predicted model, not a curated record